Long non-coding RNA from Pristis pectinata (smalltooth sawfish), 228 nucleotides. RefSeq lists it as uncharacterized. The transcript has 3 exons. Lineage: Eukaryota; Metazoa; Chordata; Chondrichthyes; Rhinopristiformes; Pristidae. The record is from RefSeq and is a predicted model, not a curated record.
UGAGCUCGCAGUCCGGCUGCGUACCACUGUUGGGAAGGGAACAUAGUCAAGGUGUUUCUCUGGGCUACUCCUCACUCACCUGAGGAUGCUGCCUGACCUGCUGAGUGUUUGGAAUUGGAAUUGGUUUAUUAUUGUCACAUGUAGUGAGCACACAAGAUAGAAGCCUGCUCAAGCAUGGUCAAGGUCAAGGUCACAGUUGAUCUUCUGGAAUCCCAGUAGAGGCUGUUC